RNAcentral lists this ribosomal RNA (661 nucleotides) under Solea solea (common sole). RNAcentral's name for it is "partial small subunit ribosomal RNA". It matches the Rfam family "Bacterial small subunit ribosomal RNA", at positions 517 to 1491 of the family's 1533-position model. Lineage: Eukaryota; Metazoa; Chordata; Actinopteri; Pleuronectiformes; Soleidae. The record is from RNAcentral.
GCGGUGAGACGAGAGGCUCAAGUUGACAAACACGGCACAAAGCGUGGUUAAGGAAUUUUACAGACUAAAGUUAAACGCUUCCAAAGCUGUUAUACGCACUCGAAAGUAUGAAAUUCAACCACGAAAGUAACUUUAACACCCCUGAACCCACGAAAGCUAAGGAACAAACUGGGAUUAGAUACCCCACUAUGCUUAGCCAUAAACAUCGAUCUUUACACAAAAAUCCGCCCGGGAACUACAAACACGAGUUUAAAACCCAAAGGACUUGGCGGUGCUUAACAUCCACCUAGAGGAGCCUGUUCUAGAACCGAUAACCCCCGUUUAACCUCACCCCCCCUAGUCUAAAACCGCCUAUAUACCACCGUCGCCAGCUUACCCUGCAAAGGCCCCAAAGUAAGCAAAACUAGCACUGCUCAGAACGUCAGGUCGAGGUGUAGCGCAUGGGGGGGGAAGAAAUGGGCUACAUUCGCUACCCCUAGCGUAUAACGAAUGACUGCGUUGAAACACGCGUUUGAAGGAGGAUUUAGAAGUAAGCAAAAAAUAGAGUGUUUUGCUGAAACAUGGCACUAAAGCGCGUACAUACCGCCCGUCACUCUCUCCUGAAUUUACCUUAUUUUAUGUAUAUAACACCACAUCCAAAUAGAGGAGAGGAAAGUCGUAA